AAGGAGAUAGCUCAAUUGGUAGAGCGCUGCUGGAAUGCAGAGGCUGCGGGUUCGAUUCCCGUUCUCUUUC
RNAcentral lists this transfer RNA (70 nucleotides) under Caudoviricetes sp. Its description in RNAcentral is "tRNA-OTHER". It matches the Rfam family "tRNA". Rfam says of the family: Transfer RNA (tRNA) molecules are approximately 80 nucleotides in length. Their secondary structure includes four short double-helical elements and three loops (D, anti-codon, and T loops). Lineage: Duplodnaviria; Heunggongvirae; Uroviricota; Caudoviricetes. The record is from RNAcentral.